This 253-nucleotide ribosomal RNA is filed under the name uncultured bacterium. Its description in RNAcentral is "partial 16S ribosomal RNA". It matches the Rfam family "Bacterial small subunit ribosomal RNA", at positions 524 to 776 of the family's 1533-position model. The record is from RNAcentral.
UACGGAGGGGGCUAGCGUUGUUCGGAAUUACUGGGCGUAAAGCGCGCGUAGGCGGCUUAGCAAGUUAGAGGUGAAAGCCCGAAGCUCAACUUCGGAAUUGCCUUUAAAACUGCAAAGCUAGAAUCAUGGAGAGGUGAGUGGAAUUCCGAGUGUAGAGGUGAAAUUCGUAGAUAUUCGGAAGAACACCAGUGGCGAAGGCGACUCACUGGACACAUAUUGACGCUGAGGUGCGAAAGCGUGGGGAGCAAACAGG